Arachis duranensis is the source of this 1011-nucleotide long non-coding RNA. RefSeq lists it as uncharacterized. The transcript is spliced from 4 exons. Lineage: Eukaryota; Viridiplantae; Streptophyta; Magnoliopsida; Fabales; Fabaceae. The record is from RefSeq and is a predicted model, not a curated record.
GUUGAUAAAUAAUGUUCUUAUAUAUUUUUAAGAGAGUAUAUUUGAUUUUAAAAUUACUCUACUCUUCAAUUUUAUCAAAAUAUCUAUUCAUAUCUAUCCUUGUUUCUUUAUAAAAUCCUAGUUUCACUAAAUUCCUAAUUAAAAACCUAAUUUUACCCUAAAUUCACAAAACACACGCACAAACAGAAUGGGAAAGAAAGGAAACAGGGGAGCUCGAGGGAGAAAAGGGGGAGACGAGAGACUGAGAAACAGGGGAAGGGGGGAGUAGCGCUGGUGGGUGUCUCUGCCACCGUGGCUGCUGUUGCUGUCGAAUAGAAGAGGGAGGGAGGCUGUCGCACUUCUAGCUGCCGCUGAAGCUCCCCUCACCACUGUCAACGUUGGUUAGGGCAGAGGAGAAGAGGAAGGAUAACGGAGAAGUGAGACUGACGGGGAGGGUAAUACGGUUGUUGUUGAUUUGGAGCUGCUACAAGAACGGCGUUUCCUGCUUCUAAUCGCUGUCCUUUUGAUUUUUGGAGUUGCCGUGGAUGGAGCUUGUAAUCAGAGAAAGCAAGCUGCUGCCACCAACUCUUAAUUCAGCCAGUGUCUUUCUCCUUGUUCUGAUUUCAAUUUUCCUAUUUUUGAAACCCCCCUUUCUGGCACCUAUUUCCUGUUACAAUUAGGUUGAGUAUUGAAGCUGGUGCUGCCAUGGGACGGUUGAAGCUGUUACUGAUUCAGAUUUUGCUAUCUGGAGCUGAAAUUGCUUUGGAUUCUUAUCCAAUUUGAAUCCUCUAUCUUACUGCAACCAUGGUCAGUGCCGCGAAGGCUAAUACCGUUGCUGUUCCGGUUGCGUGAGAGUUACCGCUGCUGCCUUGAAACUAAAAGAGAAGAGAGUUGUUACGUUAAAGUAUGCGAUUGCGACAUCGAGUGACACAGGUUUGAAGACGCAAUUUGAAGCUGCGAGCGAUUAGUAGGUUUUCUUUAUGGUUUUAAUUGCUUUCAUAGAGUCCCCUCGCUCUUUUCCUUUGAAGUUUU